GACGAACGCUGGCGGCGUGCUUAACACAUGCAAGUCGAGCGGAAAGGCCCUGCUUUUGUGGGGUUCUCGAUUGCCGAACGCGUGUGUAUAACGUGAGUAACCCCCCCUUAUAUGUGUGAGAUCUUUUGGAAACUGCGGCUAAUACCGGAUAUAAUCUCCUGCUGCAUGGUGGUGAUUGGAAAGUUACGGCGUUUGUGGCUCUUCUAGAGGCUUACGCGCCGCAUGAGGUAGUUGGGGAGGUAACAGCUUACCAAGGCUACGAGGCGUAGCCGAACUGAGAGAGUGAUCGGCCACACUGGAACUUAGACACGGUCCAGACUCCUACGGGAGGCAGCAGUAGGGAAUCUGCCGCAAUGGGCGAAAGCCUGACGGAGCAACGCCGCGUGAGAGAUGACGGUCUUCGGAUCGUAAAACUCGGUUAUUAGGGAAGAACAAAUGUGUAAGGAACUAUGCACGUCUUGACGGUACCUAAUCAGAAAGCCACGGCUAACUACGUG
This 497-nucleotide ribosomal RNA is filed under the name uncultured bacterium. RNAcentral describes it as "partial 16S ribosomal RNA". It matches the Rfam family "Bacterial small subunit ribosomal RNA", at positions 28 to 507 of the family's 1533-position model. The record is from RNAcentral.